This 497-nucleotide ribosomal RNA is filed under the name uncultured bacterium. RNAcentral describes it as "partial 16S ribosomal RNA". It matches the Rfam family "Bacterial small subunit ribosomal RNA", at positions 28 to 507 of the family's 1533-position model. The record is from RNAcentral.
GAUGAACGCUGGCGGCGUGCCUAAUACAUGCAAGUCGAGCGAACAGAUGAGGAGCUUGCUCCUCUGACGUUAGCGGCGGACGGGUGAGUAACACGUGGAUAACCUACCUAUAAGACUGGGAUAACUUCGGGAAACCGGAGCUAAUACCGGAUAAUAUAUUGAACCGCAUGGUUCAAUAGUGAAAGACGGUUUUGCUGUAACUUAUAGAUGGCUCCGUGUCGCUUUAGCUAGUUGGUAAGGUAACGGCUUACCAAGUCAACGAUGCGUAGCCGACCUGAGAGGGUGAUCGGCCACACUGGAACUGAGACACGCUCCAGACUCCUACGGGAGGCAGCAAUAGGGAAUCUUCCGCAAUGGGCGAAAGCCUGACGGAGCAACGCAGCGUGAGUGAUGAAGGUCUUGGGAUCGUAAAACUCUGUUAUUAGGGAAGAACAAUUGUGUAAGUAACUAUGCACGUCUUGACGGUACCUAAUCAGAAAGCCACGGCUAACUACGUG